This 497-nucleotide ribosomal RNA is filed under the name uncultured bacterium. RNAcentral's name for it is "partial 16S ribosomal RNA". It matches the Rfam family "Bacterial small subunit ribosomal RNA", at positions 28 to 507 of the family's 1533-position model. The record is from RNAcentral.
GAUGAACGCUGGCGGCGUGCCUAAUACAUGCAAGUCGAGCGAACAGACGAGGAGCUUGCUCCUCUGACGUUAGCGGCGGACGGGUGAGUAACACGUGGAUAACCUACCUAUAAGACUGGGAUAACUUCGGGAAACCGGAGCUAAUACCGGAUAAUAUAUUGAACCGCAUGGUUCAAUAGAGAAAGACGGUUUUGCUGUCACUUAUAGAUGGAUCCGCGCCGCAUUAGCUAGUUGGUAAGGUAACGGCUUACCAAGGCAACGAUGCGUAGCCGACCUGAGAGGGUGAUCGGCCACACUAGAACUGAGACACGGUCCAGACUCCUACGGGAGGCAGCAGUAGGGAAUCUUCCGCAAUGGGCGAAAGCCUGACGGAGCAACGCCGCGUGAGUGAUGAAGGUCUUCGGAUCGUAAAACUCUGUUAUUAGGGAAGAACAAAUGUGUAAGUAACUAUGCACGUCUUGACGGUACCUAAUCAGAAAGCCACGGCUAACUACGUG